CGGGAGUAGCUGGGACUACAGGCGCCCGCCACCACGCCCGGCUAAUUUUUUGUAUUUUUAGUAGAGAGGGGGUUUCACCGUGUUAGCCAGGAUGGUCUCCAUCUCCUGACCUCGUGAUCUGCCCGCCUCGGCCUCCCAAAGUGCUGGGAUUACAGGCGUGAGCCACUGCGCCCUGCCAGGCAAUUCAGAGAUUUUUGCAAUAUUGCUGCGUGGCCAUACAGGUUUAAAGAACUUUGUCUUCUUAGAGCAUUCAUUCAUCAUGACAAAGCAACCUGAAUGAUCUUGGAAAAGGACCCUGAUCUCUGGAUGGGAAUGCAGCUCAGCCAACACUUUGAUUCCAGCUGUGUGAAACCCUCAGCAAAUAACCUUGAGUUGCCAUGACCUACAGAACUAAUAAAUAUAUUAUGGUGAAUAUUAUUUU
This 421-nucleotide long non-coding RNA is filed under the name Homo sapiens (human). RNAcentral's name for it is "HSALNT0070760". The record is from RNAcentral. Lineage: Eukaryota; Metazoa; Chordata; Mammalia; Primates; Hominidae.